This is a small nuclear RNA of Monodelphis domestica (gray short-tailed opossum), 110 nucleotides long. Lineage: Eukaryota; Metazoa; Chordata; Mammalia; Didelphimorphia; Didelphidae. The record is from Ensembl.
GUGCUUGCUUCAACAGAACAUAUACUAAAAUUGGAACAAUACAGAGAAGAUUAUUAGCAUAGACUCUGCACAAGGAUGACACACAAAUUCAUGAAGCAUUCCAUAUUUUA